UUAGCUAAAACAGUUCAUAGGAGAUGAGUAUGCCAAGUUGCAGCAAGAUUAUACAAUUGGUCCUGACUUCAUGGGUACUGCUAGCAAAUCAACUGGAUGCCGUAAAUGAACAUUCUGUUGAUGAAAGUGUGCAAACAGUUUGCCCUGGAGAGUUGGUUUCUCUAAUUUGCACUCAUGACAAUGUUGCUGGUCAACAAACUCACUGGAUUGUCAGUGGCUCACAGCCUUGUGAUGAAUUUGUAAGCCACUUCACUGAUUCGACUGAAGACAUGUGUGGUUCGUUCAUUAUUACGAGGAUAGGUAAUACAGUUUCUACAUUAUAUUCAACUAUUCAAAUACCCGCCACUGAGGCACUGGACGAUACUUUGAUUAAAUGUUUUUCUGGAGGUCUUACAUCGUCCCCACAAGUUGGCAACACCACACUCAAUGUGAUAAGUCAGUGAAACAACAAGAUUUCAUGCUAGCCACACCAUAUCAACUUUAUAUAUAUACUUUCAACUGUUACAGAUCUAACUGUGUCUACUGUAACUGACUGGAUGGCUAACCUGAGAACCAACAGUUUAUGUCCUGUUCUGGAGUGGGACCCAGUGGACGCACCAUACCAGAGAUGUGUCAUCGGCUACACUAUCAACCUGAAUGGAACAGUGUACAAUACCACAAACACAUCUCUAUCAUUAGCUGGAGAGAGCCUCUCUUACUGUGAGACUCACACAGUGACUGUAACACCACUCACACUCAAUGGACUCUUAUCGCCAGAUACCUCAAAUAUCACAGUG
Molecule: long non-coding RNA, 776 nt
Organism: Halichondria panicea
Lineage: Eukaryota; Metazoa; Porifera; Demospongiae; Suberitida; Halichondriidae
Exons: 3
Source: RefSeq, a predicted model, not a curated record